UUAAGCAUAUCAAUAAGCGGAGGAAAAGAAACCAACAGGGAUUGCCCCAGUAACGGCGAGUGAAGCGGCAACAGCUCAAAUUUGAAAUCUGGCCCCCAGGGCCCGAGUUGUAAUUUGCAGAGGAUGCUUUUGGCGCGGUGCCUUCCGAGUUCCCUGGAACGGGACGCCAUAGAGGGUGAGAGCCCCGUCUGGUCGGACGCCUAGCCUAUGUAAAGCUCCUUCGACGAGUCGAGUAGUUUGGGAAUGCUGCUCUAAAUGGGAGGUAUAUGUCUUCUAAAGCUAAAUAUUGGCCAGAGACCGAUAGCGCACAAGUAGAGUGAUCGAAAGAUGAAAAGCACUUUGAAAAGAGGGUUAAAUAGUACGUGAAAUUGUUGAAAGGGAAGCGCUUAUGACCAGACUUGGGCCCGGUGGAUCAUCCAGCGUUCUCGCUGGUGCACUCCGCCGGGUUCAGGCCAGCAUCAGUUCGCCGCGGGGGAAAAAGGCUUCGGGAACGUGGCUCCUACGGGAGUGUUAUAGCCCGUUGCAUAAUACCCUGGGGCGGACUGAGGUUCGCGCUCCGCAAGGAUGCUGGCGUAAUGGUCAUCAGCGACCCGUCUUGAAACACGGACCAAGGAGUCGUCUUCGUAUGCGAGUGUUCGGGUGUAAAACCCCUACGCGUAAUGAAAGUGAACGCAGGUGAGAGCUUCGGCGCAUCAUCGACCGAUCCUGAUGUUCUCGGAUGGAUUUGAGUAAGAGCAUACGGGGCCGGACCCGAAAGAAGGUGAACUAUGCCUGUAUAGGGUGAAGCCAGAGGAAACUCUGGUGGAGGCUCGCAGCGGUUCUGACGUGCAAAUCGAUCGUCAAAUAUGGGCAUGGGGGCGAAAGACUAAUCGAACCUUCUAGUAGCUGGUUUCCGCCGAAG
RNAcentral lists this ribosomal RNA (901 nucleotides) under Purpureocillium lavendulum. RNAcentral describes it as "LSU rRNA". It matches the Rfam family "Eukaryotic large subunit ribosomal RNA", at positions 34 to 966 of the family's 3401-position model. Lineage: Eukaryota; Fungi; Ascomycota; Sordariomycetes; Hypocreales; Ophiocordycipitaceae. The record is from RNAcentral.